Molecule: long non-coding RNA, 1787 nt
Filed under: Coffea arabica (coffee)
Lineage: Eukaryota; Viridiplantae; Streptophyta; Magnoliopsida; Gentianales; Rubiaceae
Description: long non-coding RNA (CARA_LNC000427)
Source: RNAcentral
CAAAAUGGCUACAAGCACAGCCAUGGUAUUUAGAAACAUUCAGCAUUGAGAAUUUCAUAGCAAUAUUCUCAUUCAACACUAAUGAAAAGGGAAUCGACAUGAGGGUUUUCUACCUUGAUAUUCGUCAAUUUUAAAUAGGUAUUACAAUUAGCUAUGAGGUGGCCGAUUUAAGAUUUAGUUGAUAGAGGUUGACAAGAAACUAUACAAACUGUGAUAGAAUACAGAUGUAUUUUGCAACAUCUAGAAAUAAUUGAAAGUUGAAAAUUUCCAUUUUUUCCCCUCUAAAUGUUGGUAAUAACCCAUUAAGAAUAGUACCAGUAAGAACCGGCAAUGCAUGAUUUCAUAAAUUAGAUCCAAGCUCGACACAGAUUGAUCCGCAUCAUGUGAACCUUUUUCUUGGUCAUAAGCCACUGACAUCUAAAAACUAACGAGCAUACAUUACUUUACACCGACUGAGGCCAUCAGGUCUUCGUACUCUGGAUCACUCUCCUGUUUCUGAAUCUUUGCUCUGUUACUGCUUAAAUGAGUAUUAAGAGAAACAGAUGUUGGCGAGAAGGGAUCAUACACUUGCUGUACUCCAGAAGCUCUAGAAGAUAGCCCAGCAGCAGGUUGAAAGGAAAUAUUACUGUUAAUAUGUUGAUUUGGAGCAACAAAACUUGGCGGCCUAGUUGCCGAUGGAGGGUAGUUUUGCUGAAUUUGCAUUGGGCCCCCUGCUCGAGGAAUUCCAUCUGCAUUGACGAAUGGGGAUCUAAAUUGAAGUUUCUUGGUUGCAGUAGAGGAGCAGCAUUCGAACCUGGAAAUGGUGCAUGCCUAGGUGGACCCAGAAGCGCUGUUGGACUACUGGGAAAGUUAACAGACGUUUGAGCUCUAGGCUGCAUCAUUUGAUUGCCAACAUUAGGCCUAGAAAACCCUGGAUUUGCAGGUGGUAGUCUCAACAUGUGCAUUCCUGGCUGAACAGGUGAAAUCUGAGAUUCCUGAUAUGGCUGUGCUGAUUGAUUUGGAUGUAAAAGUAUAGGUUGAGUAUUUGGUCUAUGAGCAACUUCAAGGGCUGGAUUGUGUGGCCGGUGAGGCUGAAAAGUAAAAUCAUUUGAGCUGGGUUGCUGUGGUCUGGGAGCAGUCAUAUUUGCAGGGUUAAUGGCAUUAAAACUGACAGCACCAGCAGGACCAGAAUUAGGAAUUCCUGAAGCUGGAUGUAGUAGUGUUGAUGAAGAUGUCACUGGUGAAAGAAGAGGGGUGGAUCCUGGUACCACAUUGGGAGAUGAAUUAGGUAUCACAGCUCGUGCAUAACAGACUGCAUGGGACCAGGUACUUUUGCUGCUGAAGGUAGUGGAGAAAGUGAAAGCCCCUGUUGGAAGUGGGAACUAGAGUUGAAGUAUGGGACAUUUGCGGGAUGAUUAACUGCAGCACCAGCUGACUGCAAAGCAGAUUGCUGGGUAAUUGGAAAGAUAUUUGGCGGUGCAGCUCUGGACACAGCCAAAGGAUGAGAAGCCAUGGAGGGGUGGCCCUGCAGACCAGUUGUUGCAGGGGUCAUUGACAUCAUAUUUCCAGCUCCAAUGGAUGUUGGAGUGUUCACUGGUACUAUAGAUGAUCCAGCAUAAGGUGGCUGGUAAGAAAUAGAUAUUGAACUCCCAAACUGGGUGGGCCCAGUUGGUGCUGACUGGUUAGUAGAUAAUUGUGGUGAUGUGACAUUUGAUUGAAUAGGUGCAGGUUGUGAAGCUGACAAAGGUGGCGGAUGUGAAAUGUAUGGCCUCUGCAGAACUUGUGGUUGCUGUGGCCCGGAGGUAAUA